RNAcentral lists this ribosomal RNA (254 nucleotides) under uncultured bacterium. RNAcentral describes it as "partial 16S ribosomal RNA". It matches the Rfam family "Bacterial small subunit ribosomal RNA", at positions 524 to 777 of the family's 1533-position model. The record is from RNAcentral.
UACGAAGGGUGCAAGCGUUAAUCGGAAUUACUGGGCGUAAAGCGUGCGUAGGCGGUUUGUUAAGUCUGCUGUGAAAUCCCCGGGCUCAACCUGGGAAUGGCAGUGGAUACUGGCAAGCUAGAGUGUGUCAGAGGAUGGUGGAAUUCCCGGUGUAGCGGUGAAAUGCGUAGAGAUCGGGAGGAACACCGGUGGCGAAGGCGGCGAUCUGGGUCGAUACUGACGCUGAGGUGCGAAAGCGUGGGGAGCAAACAGGG